Molecule: ribosomal RNA, 465 nt
Filed under: Vreelandella stevensii
Lineage: Bacteria; Pseudomonadati; Pseudomonadota; Gammaproteobacteria; Oceanospirillales; Halomonadaceae
Description: partial 16S ribosomal RNA
Rfam family: Bacterial small subunit ribosomal RNA
Source: RNAcentral
CCUACGGGGUGCUGCAGUGGGGAAUAUUGGACAAUGGGCGAAAGCCUGAUCCAGCCAUGCCGCGUGUGUGAAGAAUGCCUUCGGGUUGUAAAGCACUUUCAGUGGGGAAGAAAGCCUUGGGGCUAAUACCCUCGAGGAAGGACAUCACCCACAGAAGAAGCACCGGCUAACUCCGUGCCAGCAGCCGCGGUAAUACGGAGGGUGCGAGCGUUAAUCGGAAUUACUGGGCGUAAAGCGCGCGUAGGCGGUCUGAUAAGCCGGUUGUGAAAGCCCCGGGCUCAACCUGGGAACGGCAUCCGGAACUGUCAGGCUAGAGUGCAGGAGAGGAAGGUAGAAUUCCCGGUGUAGCGGUGAAAUGCGUAGAGAUCGGGAGGAAUACCAGUGGCGAAGGCGGCCUUCUGGACUGACACUGACGCUGAGGUGCGAAAGCGUGGGUAGCAAACAGGAUUAGAUACCCGAGUAGUC